UGAGUAAGUGGCGCACGGUGAGUAACACGUGACUAACCUGCCCUUCGAGUGGGGAAUAACCUCGGGAAACCGGGGCUAAUACCGCAUAAUACCUACGGGUGCAAACCUGAUGGUCAAACCGGAAACGGGCUUAAGGAGGGGGUCGCGGCUGAUUAGCUAGUUGGCAGGGUAACGGCCUACCAAGGCGACGAUCAGUAGCCGGCCUGAGAGGGCGCACGGCCACACUGGAACUGACAGACGGUCCAG
Molecule: ribosomal RNA, 246 nt
Filed under: uncultured bacterium
Lineage: Bacteria
Description: partial 16S ribosomal RNA
Rfam family: Bacterial small subunit ribosomal RNA
Source: RNAcentral